This 474-nucleotide ribosomal RNA is filed under the name uncultured bacterium. Its description in RNAcentral is "bacterial SSU rRNA". It matches the Rfam family "Bacterial small subunit ribosomal RNA", at positions 335 to 800 of the family's 1533-position model. The record is from RNAcentral.
ACUCCUACGGGAGGCAGCAGUGGGGAAUAUUGGACAAUGGGGGCAACCCUGAUCCAGCAAUGCCGCGUGUGUGAAGAAGGCCUGCGGGUUGUAAAGCACUUUCAAUGGUAAGGAAGGCUAGGUCGUUAAUAUCGAUUUAGAUUGACGUUACCCAUAGAAGCAGCACCGGCUAACUCUGUGCCAGCAGCCGCGGUAAUACAGAGGGUGCGAGCGUUAAUCGGAAUUACUGGGCGUAAAGGGCGCGUAGGUUGUUAUUUAAGUUGGAUGUGAAAGCCCUGGGCUUAACCUGGGAACUGCAUCCAAGACUGGAUAGCUAGAGUACAGUAGAGGAAAGGGGAAUUUCCGGUGUAGCGGUGAAAUGCGUAGAUAUCGGAAGGAACACCAGUGGCGAAGGCGCCUUUCUGGACUGAUACUGACACUGAGGUGCGAAAGCGUGGGUAGCGAACAGGAUUAGAUACCCUGGUAGGAUAGCGU